GUCAGGUGUGAUGGAUGUGGUCCUGUGAGUCAGGGGUGUGGUCAGUGUGAUGGAUGUGGUCCUUUGAGUCAGGGGUGUGGUCAGGUGUGAUGGAUGUGGUCCUUUGAGUCAGGGGUGUGGUCAGGUGUGAUGGAUAUGGUCCAGUGAGUCAGGGGUGUGGUCAGUGUGAUGGAUGUGGUCCUUUGAGUCAGGGGUGUGGUCAGGUGUGAUGGAUGUGGUCCUUUGAGUCAGGGGUGUGGUCAGGUGUGAUGGAUGUUGUCCUUUGAGUCAGGGGUGUGGUCAGGUGUGAUGGAUGUUGUCCUGUGAGUCAGGGGUGUGGUCAGGUGUGAUGGAUGUGGUCCUUUGAGUCAGGGGUGUGGUCAGGUGUGAUGGAUGUGGUCCUUUAAGUCAGGGGUGUGGUCAGGUGUGAUGGAUGUUGUCCUGUGAGUCAGGGGUGUGGUCAGGUGUGAUGGAUGUGGUCCUUUGAGUCAGGGGUGUGGUCAGGUGUGAUGGAUGUGGUCCUUUAAGUCAGGGGUGUGGUCAGGUGUGAUGGAUGUUGUCCUGUGAGUCAGGGGUGUGGUCAGGUGUGAUGG
This is a long non-coding RNA of Pecten maximus, 572 nucleotides long. RefSeq lists it as uncharacterized. The transcript is spliced from 4 exons. NCBI's taxonomy places the organism in Eukaryota, Metazoa, Mollusca, Bivalvia, Pectinida, Pectinidae. The record is from RefSeq and is a predicted model, not a curated record.